Molecule: unclassified non-coding RNA, 344 nt
Filed under: soil metagenome
Description: partial contains 5.8S ribosomal RNA, internal transcribed spacer 2, and large subunit ribosomal RNA
Rfam family: 5.8S ribosomal RNA (bases 1-120)
Source: RNAcentral
GAUGAAGAACGUAGCGAAAUGCGAUAAGUAAUGUGAAUUGCAGAAUUCAGUGAAUCAUCGAAUCUUUGAACGCACAUUGCGCCCGCCAGUAUUCUGGCGGGCAUGCCUGUUCGAGCGUCAUUUCCACCAUCAGGCCCCCGGGCCUGUGUUGGGGACCUGCGGCUGCCCGCAGGCCCCGAAAUUCAGUGGCGGUCGCGCCGUAGCAACCGAGCGUAGUAACUAAAACGUCUCGCUCUGGCUCGCUGGGCGCGCUCCGGCCGUAAAACACCCCCCCUUUUCGCAAAGGUUGACCUCGGAUCAGGUAGGAAUACCCGCUGAACUUAAGCAUAUCGAUAAGCGGAGGA